RNAcentral lists this ribosomal RNA (497 nucleotides) under uncultured bacterium. RNAcentral's name for it is "partial 16S ribosomal RNA". It matches the Rfam family "Bacterial small subunit ribosomal RNA", at positions 28 to 507 of the family's 1533-position model. The record is from RNAcentral.
GAUGAACGCUGGCGGCGUGCCUAAUACAUGCAAGUCGAGCGAACAGAUGAGGAGCUUGCUCCUCUGACGUUAGCGGCGGACGGGUGAGUAACACGUGGAUAACCUACCUAUAAGACUGGGAUAACUUCGGGAAACCGGAGCUAAUACCGGAUAAUAUAUUGAACCGCAUGGUUCAAUAGUGAAAGACGGUUUUGCUGUCACUUAUAGAUGGAUCCGCGCCUCAUUAGCUAGUUGGUAAGGUAACGGCUUACCAAGGCAACGAUGCGUAGCCGACCUGAGAGGGUGAUAGGCCACCCUGGAACUGAGACACGGUCCAGACUCCUACGGGAGGCAGCAGUAGGGAAUCUUCCGCAAUGGGCGAAAGCCUGACGGAGCAACGCCGCGUGAGUGAUGAAGGUCUUCGGAUCGUAAAACUCUGUUAUUAGGGAAGAACAAAUGUGUAAGUAACUAUGCACGUCUUGACGGUACCUAAUCAGAAAGCCACGGCUAACUACGUG